RNAcentral lists this ribosomal RNA (253 nucleotides) under uncultured bacterium. RNAcentral's name for it is "partial 16S ribosomal RNA". It matches the Rfam family "Bacterial small subunit ribosomal RNA", at positions 524 to 776 of the family's 1533-position model. The record is from RNAcentral.
UACGGGGGGGGCAAGCGUUGUUCGGAAUUACUGGGCGUAAAGGGCUCGUAGGCGGCCAACUAAGUCGGAUGUGAAAUCCCCAGGCUCAACCUGGGAACUGCAUCCGAUACUGGUGGGCUCGAAUCCGGGAGAGGGAUGUGGAAUUCCAGGUGUAGCGGUGAAAUGCGUAGAUAUCUGGAGGAACACCGGUGGCGAAGGCGGCAUCCUGGACCGGUAUUGACGCUGAUGCGCGAAAGCCAGGGGAGCAAACGGG